GAUGAACGCUAGCGGCAGGCUUAACACAUGCAAGUCGAGGGGCAGCGUGGGGCAGCAAUGCUCUGACGGCGACCGGCGGAAGGGUGCGUAACACGUGAGCGACUUGCCCGUCACAGGGGGAUAACCGGCGGAAACGGCGACUAAUACCCCAUAAGAUGCGGUGCUGCAUGGCAUUGCAUUGAAAGAUUCAUCGGUGGCGGAUAGGCUCGCGGGACAUUAGCUAGACGGCGGGGCAACGGCCCACCGUGGCGACGAUGUCUAGGGGUUCUGAGAGGAAGACCCCCCACACUGGGACUGAGACACGGCCCAGACUCCUACGGGAGGCAGCAGUGAGGAAUAUUGGUCAAUGGGCGGAAGCCUGAACCAGCCAUGCCGCGUGAAGGACUAAGGCCCUACGGGUCGUAAACUUCUUUAGACGCAGAGCAAUAAGGUCCACGCGUGGACCGAUGAGAGUAUGCGUAGAAUAAGCAUCGGCUAACUCCGUGCCAGCAGCCGCGGUAAUACGGGGGAUGCGAGCGUUAUCCGGAUUCAUUGGGUUUAAAGGGUGCGUAGGUGGUCUUUUAAGUCAGCGGUGAAAGUUUGUGGCUCAACCAUAAAAUUGCCAUUGAAACUGGGAGACUUGAGUAUGUUUGAGGUAGGCGGAAUGCGUGGUGUAGCGGUGAAAUGCAUAGAUAUCACGCAGAACUCCGAUUGCGAAGGCAGCUUGCCAAGCCAUAACUGACACUGAAGCACGAAAGCGUGGGUAUCAAACAGG
This 754-nucleotide ribosomal RNA is filed under the name uncultured bacterium. RNAcentral's name for it is "bacterial SSU rRNA". It matches the Rfam family "Bacterial small subunit ribosomal RNA", at positions 28 to 776 of the family's 1533-position model. The record is from RNAcentral.